GGUAGAGUGGCCGAGCGGUCCAAGGCGCUGUGUUCAGGUGAUUUAUUAGUCAUCGCAGUAUCGAAAGAUGCGUGGGUUCGAAUCCCACCUCUAUCA
Molecule: transfer RNA, 96 nt
Filed under: Microsporum audouinii
Lineage: Eukaryota; Fungi; Ascomycota; Eurotiomycetes; Onygenales; Arthrodermataceae
Also listed under: 3 other names
Description: tRNA-Leu
Rfam family: tRNA
About the family: Transfer RNA (tRNA) molecules are approximately 80 nucleotides in length. Their secondary structure includes four short double-helical elements and three loops (D, anti-codon, and T loops). Further hydrogen bonds mediate the characteristic L-shaped molecular structure. tRNAs have two regions of fundamental functional importance: the anti-codon, which is responsible for specific mRNA codon recognition, and the 3' end, to which the tRNAs corresponding amino acid is attached (by aminoacyl-tRNA synthetases). tRNAs cope with the degeneracy of the genetic code in two manners: having more than one tRNA (with a specific anti-codon) for a particular amino acid; and 'wobble' base-pairing, i.e. permitting non-standard base-pairing at the 3rd anti-codon position.
Source: RNAcentral